RNAcentral lists this ribosomal RNA (1640 nucleotides) under Salmonella enterica subsp. enterica serovar Paratyphi B var. L(+) tartrate +. RNAcentral's name for it is "partial 23S ribosomal RNA". It matches the Rfam family "Bacterial large subunit ribosomal RNA", at positions 541 to 2162 of the family's 2925-position model. Lineage: Bacteria; Pseudomonadati; Pseudomonadota; Gammaproteobacteria; Enterobacterales; Enterobacteriaceae. The record is from RNAcentral.
AAAAAGAACCUGAAACCGUGUACGUACAAGCAGUGGGAGCACAGGUUUACCUGUGUGACUGCGUACCUUUUGUAUAAUGGGUCAGCGACUUAUAUUCUGUAGCAAGGUUAACCGUAUAGGGGAGCCGUAGGGAAACCGAGUCUUAAUUGGGCGUUAAGUUGCAGGGUAUAGACCCGAAACCCGGUGAUCUAGCCAUGGGCAGGUUGAAGGUUGGGUAACACUAACUGGAGGACCGAACCGACUAAUGUUGAAAAAUUAGCGGAUGACCUGUGGCUGGGGGUGAAAGGCCAAUCAAACCGGGAGAUAGCUGGUUCUCCCCGAAAGCUAUUUAGGUAGCGCCUCGUGAAUUCAUCUCCGGGGGUAGAGCACUGUUUCGGCUAGGGGGCCAUCCCGGCUUACCAACCCGAUGCAAACUGCGAAUACCGGAGAAUGUUAUCACGGGAGACACACGGCGGGUGCUAACGUCCGUCGUGAAGAGGGAAACAACCCAGACCGCCAGCUAAGGUCCCAAAGUCAUGGUUAAGUGGGAAACGAUGUGGGAAGGCCCAGACAGCCAGGAUGUUGGCUUAGAAGCAGCCAUCAUUUAAAGAAAGCGUAAUAGCUCACUGGUCGAGUCGGCCUGCGCGGAAGAUGUAACGGGGCUAAACCAUGCACCGAAGCUGCGGCAGCGACGCUUAUGCGUUGUUGGGUAGGGGAGCGUUCUGUAAGCCUGUGAAGGUGGCCUGUGAGGGUUGCUGGAGGUAUCAGAAGUGCGAAUGCUGACAUAAGUAACGAUAAAGCGGGUGAAAAGCCCGCUCGCCGGAAGACCAAGGGUUCCUGUCCAACGUUAAUCGGGGCAGGGUGAGUCGACCCCUAAGGCGAGGCCGAAAGGCGUAGUCGAUGGGAAACAGGUUAAUAUUCCUGUACUUGGUGUUACUGCGAAGGGGGGACGGAGAAGGCUAUGUUGGCCGGGCGACGGUUGUCCCGGUUUAAGCGUGUAGGUGUGUGUUCCAGGUAAAUCCGGUUCACUUUAACACUGAGGCGUGAUGACGAGGCACUACGGUGCUGAAGCAACAAAUGCCCUGCUUCCAGGAAAAGCCUCUAAGCAUCAGGUAACAUCAAAUCGUACCCCAAACCGACACAGGUGGUCAGGUAGAGAAUACCAAGGCGCUUGAGAGAACUCGGGUGAAGGAACUAGGCAAAAUGGUGCCGUAACUUCGGGAGAAGGCACGCUGACACGUAGGUGAAGUGAUUUACUCAUGGAGCUGAAGUCAGUCGAAGAUACCAGCUGGCUGCAACUGUUUAUUAAAAACACAGCACUGUGCAAACACGAAAGUGGACGUAUACGGUGUGACGCCUGCCCGGUGCCGGAAGGUUAAUUGAUGGGGUCAGCGCAAGCGAAGCUCCUGAUCGAAGCCCCGGUAAACGGCGGCCGUAACUAUAACGGUCCUAAGGUAGCGAAAUUCCUUGUCGGGUAAGUUCCGACCUGCACGAAUGGCGUAAUGAUGGCCAGGCUGUCUCCACCCGAGACUCAGUGAAAUUGAACUCGCUGUGAAGAUGCAGUGUACCCGCGGCAAGACGGAAAGACCCCGUGAACCUUUACUAUAGCUUGACACUGAACAUUGAGCCUUGAUGUGUAGGAUAGGUGGGAGGCUUUGAAG